RNAcentral lists this ribosomal RNA (118 nucleotides) under Pteropus alecto (black flying fox). The record is from RNAcentral. Lineage: Eukaryota; Metazoa; Chordata; Mammalia; Chiroptera; Pteropodidae.
AAUAAUAGUAAAUACACAUGAAUAUACCCAAUCUUGUCUGAUCUUGGAAGCUAAGGAGGGUUGGGCCUGGUUGGUACUUGGAUAGAAGACCAUGUUGGAAUACCAGGUGCUGUAGGCU